Molecule: ribosomal RNA, 480 nt
Filed under: uncultured bacterium
Lineage: Bacteria
Description: bacterial SSU rRNA
Rfam family: Bacterial small subunit ribosomal RNA
Source: RNAcentral
CUGGCUCAGGACGAACGCUGGCGGCGUGCUUAACACAUGCAAGUCGAACGGGAGUAUUAAAGAAGCUUGCUUAGAGAUACUUUAGUGGCGGACGGGUGAGUAACGCGUGAGGAGCUGUCCUAUGCAGGGGGACAACAGCUGGAAACGGCUGCUAAUACCCCAUAAGCCGAGAGGUAAAAGGAUCAAUCCGGCAGAGGAGGUACUCGCGUCCUAUCAGCUAGUAGGUGAGGUAACGGCUCACCUAGGCGAAGACGGGUAGCCGGCCUGAGAGGGCGAACGGCCACACUGGAACUGAGAUACGGUCCAGACUCCUACGGGAGGCAGCAGUGGGGAAUAUUGGGCAAUGGGGGGAAAAACCCCCUGACCCAGCGACGCCGCGUGGGUGAAGAAAUCCUUCGGGAUGUAAAGCCCUGUUGUAUGGGAAGAGCGGAAGACGGUACCAUACGAGGAAGCCCCGGCAAACUACGUGCCAGCAGCGGC